Molecule: long non-coding RNA, 329 nt
Filed under: Citrus x clementina
Lineage: Eukaryota; Viridiplantae; Streptophyta; Magnoliopsida; Sapindales; Rutaceae
Description: Citrus clementina (C. clementina) long non-coding RNA (CCLE_LNC000229)
Source: RNAcentral
UUCUAUCAUUUUAAGUGUAACUUUUCUAAUUAGUUUUUGUGCAUCAUUUUCACAUUUCUGCAUGCAUAUUUUCCUUUCAUGUUUAGAAUAGGUUGGGGGGUAGAAUGUUGUUUAAAAAAAAAUUGAGUGAUUUGUUUUAACAUUGGAUGACAUGAUUAAUUUCAAAUUUUAGUAUUUGUAUUAUCUUUGGUCUUAAGUGAUGUUACGUUAUGUUUGCUACUUUACAUGUUGAUGUCGGAGACAAAUAUGAGUUACUUGAAGGAAUGAACAUGUCAUAAAUAAGUGCCAAGUGAGUUUUUGAGCCUAUCAUUUUUCUUGGAGAGUAACUU